GAUGAACGCUGGCGGCGUGCCUAAUACAUGCAAGUCGAGCGAACGGACGAGAAGCUUGCUUCUCUGAUGUUAGCGGCGGACGGGUGAGUAACACGUGGAUAACCUACCUAUAAGACUGGGAUAACUUCGGGAAACCGGAGCUAAUACCGGAUGAUAUUUUGAACCGCAUGGUUCAAAAGUGAAAGACGGUCUUGCUGUCACUUAUAGAUGGAUCCGCGCUGCAUUAGCUAGUUGGUAAGGUAACGGCUUACCAAGGCAACGAUGCAUAGCCGACCUGAGAGGGUGAUCGGCCACACUGGAACUGAGACACGGUCCAGACUCCUACGGGAGGCAGCAGUAGGGAAUCUUCCGCAAUGGACGAAAGCCUGACGGAGCAACGCCGCGUGAGUGAUGAAGGUCUUCGGAUCGUAAAACUCUGUUAUUAGGGAAGAACAUAUGUGUAAGUAACUGUGCACAUCUUGACGGUACCUAAUCAGAAAGCCACGGCUAACUACGCG
RNAcentral lists this ribosomal RNA (497 nucleotides) under uncultured bacterium. RNAcentral's name for it is "partial 16S ribosomal RNA". It matches the Rfam family "Bacterial small subunit ribosomal RNA", at positions 28 to 507 of the family's 1533-position model. The record is from RNAcentral.